RNAcentral lists this unclassified non-coding RNA (391 nucleotides) under soil metagenome. RNAcentral's name for it is "partial contains 5.8S ribosomal RNA, internal transcribed spacer 2, and large subunit ribosomal RNA". The stretch from base 1 to 122 matches the Rfam family "5.8S ribosomal RNA", at positions 35 to 154 of the family's 154-position model. The record is from RNAcentral.
GAUGAAGAACGUAGCGAAAUGCGAUACUUGGUGUGAAUUGCAGAAUCCCGUGAACCAUCGAGUCUUUGAACGCAAGUUGCGCCCGAAGCCACUAGGCCGAGGGCACGCCUGCCUGGGCGUCACACGUCGUUGCCCCCCCAUCUACUCCUUCGGGAUUGCGGGGGGGCGGAUGAUGGCCUCCCGUGCGCCUAGCCGCGCGGUUGGCAUAAAUACCAAGUCCUCGGCGACGCACGCCACGACAAUCGGUGGUUGCGAAACCUCGGUUGCCCGUCGUGUGCGUUCGUCGCGCAUCGAGGGCUCGAAAAAAUGCUCGGCUCCGGCUCGGCUUUCAACGCGACCCCAGGUCAGGCGGGGUUACCCGCUGAAUUUAAGCAUAUCAAUAAGCGGAGGA